AACGAACGCUGGCGGCGCGCCUAAUACAUGCAAGUCGAGCGAGAAGACGUAGCAAUACGUUUGUAAAGCGGCGAACGGGUGAGGAAUACAUGGGUAACCUACCCUCGAGUGGGGAAUAACUAGCCGAAAGGUUAGCUAAUACCGCGUACGCUCCUUGGACUUCGGUUCAGGGAGGAAAGCGAUACCGUGGGUAUCGCGCUCUUGGAUGGGCUCAUGUCCUAUCAGCUUGNGGUGAGGUAACGGCUCACCAAGGCUUCGACGGGUAGCUGGUCUGAGAGGACGAUCAGCCACACUGGCACUGCGACACGGGCCAGACUCCUACGGGAGGCAGCAGUAAGGAAUAUUGCGCAAUGGGCGAAAGCCUGACGCAGCGACGCCGCGUGGGGGAUGAAGGUCUUC
This 399-nucleotide ribosomal RNA is filed under the name uncultured bacterium. RNAcentral's name for it is "bacterial SSU rRNA". It matches the Rfam family "Bacterial small subunit ribosomal RNA", at positions 29 to 419 of the family's 1533-position model. The record is from RNAcentral.